AGAGUUUGAUCAUGGCUCAGAUUGAACGCUGGCGGCAUGCCUUACACAUGCGAGUCGAACGGCAGCAUGAUCUAGCUUGCUAGAUUGAUGGCGAGUGGCGAACGGGUGAGUAAUACAUCGGAACGUGCCCUGUAGUGGGGGAUAACUAGUCGAAAGAUUAGCUAAUACCGCAUACGACCUGAGGGUGAAAGUGGGGGACCGCAAGGCCUCAUGCUAUAGGAGCGGCCGAUGUCUGAUUAGCUAGUUGGUGAGGUAAAGGCUCACCAAGGCGACGAUCAGUAGCUGGUCUGAGAGGACGAUCAGCCACACUGGGAUUGAGACACGGCCCAGACUCCUACGGGAGGCAGCAGUGGGGAAUUUUGGACAAUGGGGGCAACCCUGAUCCAGCAAUGCCGCGUGUGUGAAGAAGGCCUUCGGGUUGUAAAGCACUUUUGUCCGGAAAGAAAUCGCACUUACUAAUAUUAGGUGUGGAUGACGGUACCGGAAGAAUAAGGACCGGCUAACUACGUGCCAGCAGCCGCGGUAAUACGUAGGGUCCAAGCGUUAAUCGGAAUUACUGGGCGUAAAGCGUGCGCAGGCGGUUGUGCAAGACCGAUGUGAAAUCCCCGGGCUUAACCUGGGAAUUGCAUUGGUGACUGCACGGCUAGAGUGUGUCAGAGGGGGGUAGAAUUCCACGUGUAGCAGUGAAAUGCGUAGAGAUGUGGAGGAAUACCGAUGGCGAAGGCAGCCCCCUGGGAUAACACUGACGCUCAUGCACGAAAGCGUGGGGAGCAAACAGGAUUAGAUACCCUGGUAGUCCACGCCCUAAACGAUGUCAACUAGUUGUUGGGGAUUCAUUUCCUUAGUAACGUAGCUAACGCGUGAAGUUGACCGCCUGGGGAGUACGGUCGCAAGAUUAAAACUCAAAGGAAUUGACGGGGACCCGCACAAGCGGUGGAUGAUGUGGAUUAAUUCGAUGCAACGCGAAAAACCUUACCUACCCUUGACAUGCCACUAACGAAGCAGAGAUGCAUUAGGUGCUCGAAAGAGAAAGUGGACACAGGUGCUGCAUGGCUGUCGUCAGCUCGUGUCGUGAGAUGUUGGGUUAAGUCCCGCAACGAGCGCAACCCUUGUCUCUAGUUGCUACGAAAGGGCACUCUAGAGAGACUGCCGGUGACAAACCGGAGGAAGGUGGGGAUGACGUCAAGUCCUCAUGGCCCUUAUGGGUAGGGCUUCACACGUCAUACAAUGGUGCAUACAGAGGGUUGCCAAGCCGCGAGGUGGAGCUAAUCCCAGAAAAUGCAUCGUAGUCCGGAUCGUAGUCCGCAACUCGACUACGUGAAGCUGGAAUCGCUAGUAAUCGCGGUUCAGCAUGCCGCGGUGAAUACGUUCCCGGGUCUUGUAGACACCGCC
Molecule: ribosomal RNA, 1392 nt
Filed under: uncultured bacterium
Lineage: Bacteria
Description: bacterial SSU rRNA
Rfam family: Bacterial small subunit ribosomal RNA
Source: RNAcentral